This is a long non-coding RNA of Epinephelus moara (kelp grouper), 2773 nucleotides long. RefSeq lists it as uncharacterized. The record is from RefSeq and is a predicted model, not a curated record. Lineage: Eukaryota; Metazoa; Chordata; Actinopteri; Perciformes; Serranidae. The transcript is spliced from 3 exons.
GUUGGACCCAUUUGAAUGGAGAAUGCGGGAACAUCAGACAGCGCUUAACAAUAAUAAAUGUAAUUUUUGAAGCAUAUCAGUCAAGCAUGGCACAGUCAUUGAGACACUCCCUUGCUGUUCAAAUAAUAAAAGAAAAUUCCCCUAUUUGAGUUUUCACGACUUUCCAGCUGAUGCUGAGGUACGCGCCCGUUGGGUGAGGGCAAUCAGACGGGAUGAAGGGCCCAACUUCAAAAUCCUACGUGGGAGCACUUUCGUCUGCAGUCAGCACUUUUCGCCAGAGGAUAAGACCAUCUGUGCCAGUGGACGAACUAGGAUUAGGAAAGGGGCAGUGCCCUCCAGAUUCGUGUGGAAUGACUGGGGCAAAGGAGGAGGCUCACAAGCUCGAGAGUCAGUUUACCAGCGAGCAAGAAAAUGCCUUAGUGUUGCAGAUGACUCUGAGGAGAUGCCUGUCCCAGGAAGCAGCACAGAGGAGGCAUCCCCUGCUGCAGCGCUAAAUGAUCAUGACUACACCUGCCAUCCUUCUCCUAUUCUGUCUUACAGAAAACAGAGAUAUGUGGUUGUAAAUUAUAUAGUGAUUAUCUUCAGGAUAUCUAUCUAUCUAUCUAUCUAUCUAUCUAUCUAUCUAUAUGUAUAUAUAUAUAUAUAUAUAUGUAUAUAUGUAUAUGGCAUUAGAGACAUUACCCUGUAACCCUAAAUAUUGUGUUCAUUUCUUCACCUUAUAAAAGUUAAGAAUUGCUGUUAAGUUUACUAAUAACAUUCAGUUAUGAGAACAAAGCGAAAAUGUAUAGACGAAUAAGUGAUACCUAUCAAGAUGUAUGCUCUUUAUUCCUCUAAAGGUAAAAUGGACAGUGCCGUUCGGAGGAUUCAAGAGUUGGAGGUGCAAGUUUUGACACUAGAACAUGAAAUCCAGCAGCUGACAGUUAAGAAUCAGCAGCCACUGAUUUUCAAGUUUUGUGUCACCAAAGAGGACUUCCGUUACUACACAAGAUUCAGCUCAAAGGAGGUCUUCACUGUGUUCUGGGAGUCUGUUUACCCCUCUGCUUCAAGGCUUGUCUAUUGGUCAAAAGCACAGCGAGCAGAUGUAGUGAUACCUAGCCCACAGCGAAAGCUUGCACUGAUUGAUGAACUGUUCAUGUUUCUCUGUCGCGUUGCAGCUGGGCUUCAGGAGAAGGAGAAGUACAGUUUGUCGCAUCAUUUUACCAGGUUCUGGGCUCGCUACCAUCAUGGAUGACAAGAGAGCAAGUACAGGCCACAAUGCCCGACAAGUUCAGGCUCUGCUGUCCUCAGCUUAGAGUGAUUAUAGACUGCACAGAGAUCCACUGUGAAACAGCAUCCUCCCUCUCAUUACAGUCAGAAACCUUUUCAAGCUACAAAAAUCACACCACCUUUAAAGGUCUGAUUGGCAUUGCUCCAUGUGGUGUUAUCACGUUUGUGUCCAAACUGUACACAGGCUCCAUUUCAGACAUAGAGAUAACAAAGAAAUCACAGAUUCUACAAUUACUUCAGCCAGGGGAUGGGGUAAUGGCUGAUAAGGGUUUCCUGAUCGAGAGGAUGCUGUCAGAGGUGGGGGUAACACUUAUAAAGAAGUCCACCCAGCUCAGCAAGGAAGACACCCAGAAGACCCAGGCUAUUGCCCGUCUGAGGAUUUUAGUGGAGAGGGCCAUACGCAGGGUGCAGGAAUACCACAUUUGGGAUGGGCUUGUUCCUCUCUCUUUGGUUGGAUCAGUCAAUCAGCUGUGGGUCAUCUGUUGCCCAAUGUUAAACUAUCAAGGACCUCUUGAUAUCAUGGGGGACAAACCAGUCUGAGGCCUCCUAUUCAGGUCACAUAUACAGUAUCUAAUACAUAUGUCUAGCUAAAUGAACAAUUCAGUUUAAAAUAAUACUGAGAUAAGUAGUCUCAAAAUACACCACUGUUUUGGACAGCAAGAGAAAUGUCUUUUUUUGCUUAAUUUCACCACUUAUCCUCAAAAUUUUACAACUUUUUUCUACAAAUGUUCUGACUUUUUCUAGAAAUUUUAUGACACUCUUUCUAUGAAUUUUGUGUUUUUUCUAGAAAUUGUGACUUUUUUCAAUAAAAAAUUGUUCACAAAAAAAAAAAUUUGACUUUUUUCUAGAAAUUUCUCUAAAAUGUUUUAAAAAUUUGCACCAGUUCUCAAAAGAUUUGGUCAUUUUUCCCCACAUGAAACUACUUUAUUAGUGUAUAUUUGUUGUCUAUUAAUCAUCUUUGCAUUGACUAUUUAACAUAAAAGUAGUUAUUGUAACAAGUCAAUUUUGCAUCUCACACGUAUGUAACUCUUAACUGGCACUCAGGUCUGUGACUUAUUUAAAAUCCAUUGUAAAGUGGCACGAGACAUCCAAAAGGUUGUUGACCCCUGAUGUACAGUAAAUGUAACGUUCACUGAUUAUAUUGAAAAUGAAAUGCUAUAUUACUUCAGUGUUUCAAAUGUUAUUUUUCAAUAUUAUUACGCUUUGAAAAAUUCUUUGUGAUACUGCUCAGCAAAGCAUCAGUUGAUAAGUACUGCACCAGUUCUUGUGAAAUCUGUAAGACUAUACUUGAGUACUGAAUGUAAAGAAAUGUGCUCUUGGAUCUUAUCUGCAGUUUGAACAAUGUGCAGUUACCUCUUAUGGCCUUAAGGUGGCAUAUUUAAUGUAUUUUGCCUGAGAUUCCAUGUUAACAUAAGGAAGGCCAUUUUUUAAAUGAAUGUCAUUAUUUUAAUGUCUAUACCAACAAAAAGUACAUAGUGCUGCUGAUUUUAUAUAUUUCUGAAAAUAA